AAGCAUCAAGUCUGAAAGAGAUGGAGGUGCUCUCCACAAGGCUUAUCAUGGAGCUAUCAUGCGCUCACCAUCAAGCUUGGACCUUCUCUAUACUCGGUCUCAAGCUUGAGGGGGAGUGUGGAUGAGCUUGCAUGAUAAGAGAAGGAGCUGUUAAGCUCAGCAAGUGAGGGAUUCAAGUGGCGUGUGAAGAGCAGCCACUCCUCACCAUUUAUACAAGGGAGUAAACCUGAUCUUUAUCUCUUUAUAUACAUUCAUGAUAGGUUUAUCUUUUGAGAACUGAUACACUUGUGGAAUGAUGUAUCAGGUACCUUACUUGGAUUCUCAAUGAAGAGGGGGUGAUCUUACCUGAUGGAGAUGGCAAGAAGCCAUGAGAGAAGGGAAGACACAAACCGAGUUCAAGAAGAAGUCCAAGAAGAAUGCUGAAGUGAAGAGGCCGUGAUCCAGAGCCUAUGUGCCUAAACCUCAGUGAUACUAAGGCACAUAGGCUCACUGGCUAAUCCCCGGGCCUUGUUGGCUCUACUCUUUUUCCCUCAUCAAGGUUUUGUCCCAAAGGAUUUUCCUUGGUGAGGUUUUUAAUGAGGGAGUUCUUCAAGGUUCCAAGCUUGACUUAGGAUCGUCUAGAAUCAAGCUUGAGGGGGAGUGUUGACUUGAAGAAAGAAAUGGAGCCAAAGGAGGAGUUGGUUGAGUUUGGGUCUUGAUGAAGGAUAGGGCAAGAUCUUCAGAGAUUGUCUGUCAAGGCUUCAGGAGUGUUUAAAGAAGUCUUGAAGUGUCCUGAAGUCAGUGCAAAGAUAGGGUCAAGUCCAGGAGGGACUUAGACACCAUCUAGAGUAGUUUGGGCGAUGGUGCAAAGUUAGGGCGAGCGGUACGGACUGGUACGAAUCUGUACGGACCUGUACGGAUCCGUACGGACCGAGGUCGACCAAGAAAUGUUCAGACUCAACAAUUGAAGGAGAUUGGGAGUUCGUGCAAAAAUAGGGCGAGGUACGGACAGGCAGUCCGUACCAUCGACCGUACUUGUUCCGGAUCAACCUGAAAUGAAGCUGUGCAAACUUAGGGCGCAAGAGAAGACAAACCUGAGUUAUCUUGUGACUGUUUGUGGAUAAGGGAGAGCUAGGGCGUGGUCAAUGACAGGCUGUCUUUGAGCUGUAAAGGAAAAGCAGCCUUGACCAUGUAUCUAGCCAUCUUUGUGAGCAAGGUUCAUGGGAGCCUUAAGGGAACCAAUCAGGAAGCAGCCCUUGCCUUGACCAGUUUGAAUUAACCAAUCAGGCACCAUCAUCUCUCAUCCAAUCACAAGACAUCACGCAGAUUGCAAACUCACCACUCCAUCCUAGCCAUCCAUUCUUCAAGUGAUUUAUCA
Molecule: long non-coding RNA, 1357 nt
Filed under: Brassica napus (rape)
Lineage: Eukaryota; Viridiplantae; Streptophyta; Magnoliopsida; Brassicales; Brassicaceae
Description: long non-coding RNA (BNAP_LNC026464)
Source: RNAcentral